Long non-coding RNA from Helianthus annuus (common sunflower), 919 nucleotides. RefSeq lists it as uncharacterized. The record is from RefSeq and is a predicted model, not a curated record. The transcript is spliced from 2 exons. NCBI's taxonomy places the organism in Eukaryota, Viridiplantae, Streptophyta, Magnoliopsida, Asterales, Asteraceae.
ACACCUCUCUCAUUUUCCUCCUACAUCCUCUCUAACCUUAUCUAGAUCUCAAAAAAAAAAAAAAAAACACAGACAUUAUGUCUGUCAUUCUCUCUCUCGAUCUAUACAUAUACAAAGAACACACAUAUACAAAUUACCAAAUACCCUCUCGAUCUUCACAUCUCCAGCCGAGUGGAGGAGCUCCGGCGCAGCUCCGACCAUCUCUGGUCACCCACACACCCCACGACACCUCAGAUACCCCCGGUCACCGAUGUAAUCCCGGUGAAAGUAAACAGAACCGCCGCACGCGGCGGUAGCGCGACGGCGGAACAGAAGAGAGAGAGAAACAAGAUGGGAGAGAGAGAGAUAACCGGUUGUGGUGGUGAGCGACGGCGGCGGCAGAGGCGGUCGGCGUCUCGGACCACUGGUAUGUGUCUCGGACCGGUGGUUCGUGUCUCGGUCCGGCAAUAGGUGUCUCGAUCCGGUGGUUCGGUUGAUAAUGAUGAUGUCAAGGGUAAUGGUGACUGAUGAAAGAUAAUGUUGCUGAUGUUCGAUUCAGUUUUUAGAAGUCUCAGGUUCGGUUUGGUCAGGCGGUUCGGUUGACUCAGUCAGCGAGUCAACUCAGUCAAGCUACAGGUCAACAGUCAGUUCUGGUCAGGAUACGGUUCGGUCAACAGCUUUGGUUCGGCUUUGGUUUGCGGUCAGACGGCUCGGUUCAGUUGACUCGGUCAAACCCAUUCAACUCGGUCAAACCUGGUCAACACAGCGAGUCGGCUCGGUCAACUCAGUCAACCCAUUUAGCGUUUCAACACGAAAUUUUGGUAAAGUCUAUUGGCACGAUGAAUAAUUUCGUUAUUCUAUAUAGUUCUAGUUACUUUCGUGAAAACGAGCUCGAACCGAACAAAAUAACGAAAUGAUAGUUAAAAUAUACUUUAAUUUA